CCCUUAUCAUAACAGAUAGUAAGAGUGGAUUCCAGAUAAGGAUGACCCAGUGGUGUCGGUACACAACGUUGGUAUGGUUAGAUAGCACACAAGAAACUACACUUACUAUAUUAACAAUAACCUAUAUUAUAAAUAAGUAGCGCAGAACCUGCUGAUGUGCCAAGCCUAAGUGUCUUUCCAAAGGUUAGGGGAGCUAAUGCAAUUUCUGAGGCCAUAGAGAACAUAUCACCAAACCAUUUCUUCCUUUUUGUUUUUCAACUUGUGACUUGUUUUCAUUUUUAGAGAAAAGCCAACUAGCCCAAUGGGGGAGGUCCUUCUGUGUAUAUGUUUGUCUUAUUGGUUGAUAAAUAAAGCACUGUUGGCCAAUAGGGAGGCAGAUUAGGCGGGGCUAGGAGAGAAGGAUUCUGGGAAAUGUAGGAAAGGAGAGAGUUGCCAUGUGAUCCCAGGAAGAGAGGACACAUAAGGCUGUCGCCCUCGUUUCCUUUCAGAGGAAGACAAAUAGGCAUCUGCAGCAAACGAAGUGCAAUACCCUCCACCUUUGCCUGAAUUAGCCCGGGAACAUGUGUGAGAUUUGCAGGGCAACAAAUCAUGCACAGAAUAUCUGGACAUGUUUCCUAUCACUUCAAAAAACAAGUCCUGGAAACAUGGCGAUUCAAGCAAGUCCUGGGUCCCGCUUGUAGGUCUGCAAGUCACAAGUCCUGCUUGGGUCCAGCUGUAUUCUCUGUUUCUUAGAUUUUCAUCAGGCUGACCUCCAGGUGUCAGUCAGCUAGGGACUCCUCCCAGAGGCCACCCACAGUUUCUCCCCACAAAAUCUUCUCAAGGCCAACAGGAAAGUCUCUGCAGCUUGGUUGAAUCUCCCUUACCUCUCCAUGGUUCACUCUGGACCUCCUUUUAUGUGGUCCACCUAGUUAGAUCAGACUCAUGGAAGAUACGCAGCCUUUAACGUCCAGCUGGUUAACAGUCGCAGGCACUGAUUACUCUCGAGUAAACAAAGUAGGGUUUAAUUUAUUACCUACAACAGGCACCGUGACUGCAGCAUCUCUGGAUACCUGGUGUAUUCCAUGACUUCCAGAUGCAGAAGGUAGUAUCCUUGGCCGUCGACAAGGGCCCUCCAUGCCCCUCCCUUCCCUCAACUACAACUGGUAGGAUUGAUGGCACACGAAGUGUACUCUUGGAUCACUGCUAUGUUUGAGCAAUGCAUCACAACCAUUACCCAGCUGCAUGCACUAAAAUGCCUUUCCAUACAUGGGUGCGUGUUACCCUGGAAAACUGAAGGCUUUUAUUUCAAAUUGGUUUACUUUGAAGUUUUCUUUGGUGCACAUCCUACUAUGCCAUAAGAGAAGUCUAUUCCAGGUUGGGAUACUGCUCACAUUUGCAAGCAUUUCAGCACACUAAGCUGCAUUGACAGAAACUCAUGAACAUGCAAGUAGUGAAUUUUGUGUUUGUUUCCUUCCUGCCUAUCAAUGUCUUCCUUCUACUUGAUUAAUAAAUCGUUCAGCAAUACCUGAAAACCUACAUCAGGAAUGUGCUCAGCACCGUCUCACUUCCUUAUCCCUGGGAUGCUUUCAUUCAUCCAAGGCCUUUCCUCCCAUCCUCUGAACAAUCUGCUAGUUUUCCUACUAAUUUCCUGUUCAUAUUCUCUAGUUCUACAUAGCCACCAAAUCACCUUCCUGAAAACUGAAAAAAGAAACUUUUUUUUUCCUCCUGCAUGUCCUUUACAUUCCAGUGGAACAGAGUUGGCCAAGAGCAAAUAAACAAAUACCAAACUUAGAAAACCAACUACCAAACUUCCAGACAGAAGACAUGUGACAAGGAAUCAUAAAAAAAAAAAAAAAAGGAAAAGAGCCAAGAAUGGUGGCAUAAACUUUUAAUCCCAGCACUCGGGAGACAGAAGCAGGUGAAUCUCUGUGCGUUCAAGGUCAGCCUGGUCUACAGAGUGAGUUCCAGGACAGCCAGGGCAAUUAAACAGAGAAACCCUGUCUGAAAAGAAAAAACAAAAACAAAACAAGGCAGGCUAAGGACAGAGAGGGAGUGGUUUUAGAUACACUGGUGACAUGAAUGUUAUUAUCCCAGCUAAAAUCAAACCUGGUCAAAUACACUUGGGUUUAAUGUCUUGAGACACUGCAGUGACUCUUACUAGGAGAGCAUUGGGGAAGCUUCAGACUCUGGCUUGGAAGGUGAUUCUGAAAGCUAGUUAGAGGACAUCAGAAAGCAGAAGAGUCUCUGAAUGGGCAUUUUGACAUGUUCUAUGUAGAAGACAAGAACACUGUAAGUGGUCAGGACACAUGCUGUCUAGAGACGAGAACAGGGCAACACUGUCAUUGUAAAUGGCCAGAAAACAGGAGUCACUUACACUAGCUAAAAUGUUCUGCUUUGUGGUUUAGAAAACCCGAAUAUUAGAGUGUGUUAUGCCUGUCACCAUAAAGGCCAAUGGGCAGAGUUAGGAAUGAAAUGUUAAGUUGCACUUGGCUCAGAGUCAGCGAUCUGAGAGGGCAGCAGACACAUACCUUGGAAGAAAUACUGCCACAUCUCUCUGGCCAGCAGAUUACACAGGUGAAGGAUGGGGACACAGACAUUCAUUUAGGAAUCUUGUUUUGUCCCUCUUGACAGCCAGAUUUGAGCCUUGUGAUGUCGGUAUCUCUCAUUAUCACCCCUUGUGUUCUUCUCUCAUUUUAUGGGCAUCUGGCUCCAGACACUUUUUGAAAUACUCAAUUUUAUGUGUCUUGGGCAUCAACCUUGUACUCCUUCCUCUACAGGUCUCUGGGCUGGGGGCAGGGAUUAACUCAGAACAAGUCAUUAGCAGUGACUAAAAAGCUAGUAGAAGCAUGUGUGAGCAGAGUCCUUUCUACAAUAUUAGUUACAGAUGUGCCCUUGUAAUACAGAAUACAAGGUGCUUCUUUCUAUUCAUCCCUCCUGCCCACUACAAGUCUGGAGGACGCUCCUGUGUUUGACCUAUUCAGACAUGACUGUGGAGGGUUCUUUCCUUCACCUUCUCGUCACCAUGACCACAGCGGUCAUACCUGACAUUGAUGUUUGGUGACUGUUUAUGCCCAAGAGAAUAUGUGACUUAGCUGACAAUGCUAGGCCAGAUGCUGAUAGGACCAGCAAGAGAUAGCUGAAAGAGCCAGUCUCUUCUCUGUCUAUGCAGGAUUAUGGGUUUACCAGUUUUUCUUUAAUAAUCAGCUGCCAAAAUGGUCUCUAAGUAUAAUUUAUAACUCUUGCUCAUAGUUUUAUUUCUUGAAAAUUUAUCUAUACUACUCUUUAGGGUAGUGAGUUCCUACAGUUUCGGUGACUGUGUCAGUUACGUCUCCAUGGCUUUGAUAAAAACACCAUGAACGAUGCACACCCUAGAAGAGUUUAUUUGGGCUUACAGUCUCAGGAGGGUCAGAGUCCUGGAUGGCAAGGUGCAGGCAUGGCACCAAAGCUGGAAGCCAGGGGCUUAUAUGUUGAACAACAAGCUGGAAGCAGAGAGUGUAAACCGGAACUCUGCAAAGUUCUGAAAUCUCAAAGCCUGCCCCAUACCUCUUCCCUCAAGCUUCUAAGUCUGAAAUCUACCCACACAGCACCAGCUGGGGUCCAAGUAUUCAAAUGUUCGAAACUACGGGAGGCAUUUAUCAUUCAAACCACAGCAAUUCAGUGCCUCACACACCUAUUUUUAAGAGUGUCUGUAGCCUAGGCAUGCCUUCAACAGUAGCAAUUUCCUGCCUCAUCCUCCUCAGUGCUGGGAUUACAGGUGUGAACCCUGAGCUGGGGUGGAGUUAAGUGGUGAUGCCAAGCUUAGAGGAGUUUCUUUUUUAUUUUUUUGUCAAGAAGAUCUAAGUAGGUGGAGGGAGGUGGUGAGAGCAGACAGAAAAUUCCUUAACUACCCAACACAGAUAGUUAUCAUCAUAGGCAGAGUGCAACCACUAGACCAACGACAAUCUACAAUGCUGACUGGCUCAGGAAUUGCAAUAAAAUACCUACUGUAAAUUUCAGAAACUUCGAAAGCCUCAGACUCAUCUGCCCAACUCAUUUUUAAAAAUAGGAAGCUGGAGUUAGAGUACACAUGGACUCUGAUGGGUCUGCAUGAUGCCAGGACUAGCUAAAAUCAGGAAGACACUCUUGGGUUCUAACUCCACAGUGUGAUUCAACACAGUUGAGAUUCAUUCAUAUUCUAUUUUAAUUCAUGAGUAGUGUUGCACUGGAUGAAUAUUCCAACGUACUCAUUCUCCCACUGAGGGACAUCUGGGACACCCUCUAGGUUUUUGCUCUCCCACGAACAGUUGCAAUGAGCAUUUCUGCACAAGUCUCUUUGUAGACAGAGGGUUUUACUUCUCUUGGCUAACACAGCAUGUGGGGCUGAUGGGUCAAAGGGUUGGUCUGUGUUUGACAUGAAACGGACAGGGCUGUACCCUCCAACAGUUUUACAACAGCUUCUUUUGCUCAAAGAGUAGCCAAGCGGAGACAGCAAAGGAUCGGUAAGGCCUUAACUUGGCCUCUCACCAGGGAAGCUCUGGGGUCCUGGAGGACGCCCCUCCCCCAUCACCCACUAUGGCCAUGUGGGUGAUCUCUCUAGGGAAAAGGACAGCAGGCAGCGCAUUCGAUCGCAACAGUUGUCUGAAUCUCUUUGACAAAUCUUUGUCUCCCUGUUUCUUGAAAUUCCGCUUCAUUGCGCGCAAGCCCCGGAAGUGGGAUUUCUGAAUAUGAAGACUUGAAAGGGCGGUUUCUGAAAAAGAGACCAUGGCUUGCAAAAAUCUGGUGGUAUGUCUGGGUGGCGCCACGUCCCCAACCAUGUCCUUGGCAGCUCCUAAAGACACCCAGUUUUCUUGAGCCAGGUAGUGGGGUUGCAUUUAAUGGAAAGUAGAAAUUGCCAGAAACAGGAUGCACCCGCCUUCUUUCUAACCUUUAGUUUCCUUUCCGCCUCCUCCGGGGUCACAAGGAAGACAUUCCUCCUCAAGUCUCUCCUUCUCCUCUUCACUUCCACUGACCGGCCACUUUAUACUCGUUACUAUGGUUUGAAAUUUGCCAGUGCAAGAGUAUGGGUGCCACAUUGCUAAGAAGCAGGUCCUUUAAGAGGUGAUGAGGACAUUGGAGUUGUGCCCUCAGGAAAGGAGUGUCACCACAAGAGUGGGUCUCUCAUAAAAGCCACCGUCUCUUGCCCUGCCACUUAGCUGACACUACGUGAUGUCACUCCCCUUUCCAAAGCCCCCCAGAACCCAAAGCCAGAUAAACUACUGUUUAUAACCAGUCGAUAGCAUUGCUACAGCAGCAGAAGAGACUAAGGCAGCCUUCCCCACCUUCUCCCCUGUGAAAGCCAACCGCUCACUACCCUAUCAGCCCAGCAGCGGUGUAAUUUAAGAUUUCUACAGGGUCAACUUUGCCACCGAAGUCUGUCCUGUGGGCACCGCACUGACCUCCACAGAGUGGACGGACUGGGUUUCCAAGUGUCGACAGUAAGAGCGAGCUUGAAGCCCAGAAGGAGUCUGAGAAACCACCUUGCAGUGUGUGUGGGUAACUUCAUCCUGCGGCUGUGAGCAGUGAGCAACAGGUCCCUAGACGAAAGAGCAGGAGCGCUGGCGUGCCGCACCACCCUCCCGACAGACCGCACUGGCUCUCCACCGCUUCCCGAGGGGCCUCAGUUUCCCAGUCAGGGCUGAGGGGGGGGGUGCGAGCCCAGGCGGGG
This 5662-nucleotide long non-coding RNA is filed under the name Cricetulus griseus (Chinese hamster). RNAcentral's name for it is "lncRNA (ENSCGRG00015034483.1)". Lineage: Eukaryota; Metazoa; Chordata; Mammalia; Rodentia; Cricetidae. The record is from RNAcentral.